CACUAACAUUUUUCAAAUCAAGCGUUAUUUUAAAAACCCUAUAUUAAACUGUAUUCCCGGUGGAAACUGGAAUAAUUUGCAAAAAAAAAAUCAUCCCGCGUCAAUUAUUCUAAUGUAUACUCAGAUUCGGAUCCUAAUAAAUUAUUUAUUGUAUAAAUAGUAUUUAAAUAUUUAAAAUUGAUUUCAUCUUUAAAAGCCUGUGUUACUUUAUUUUGCUGCAGGGACAAAACUGCACGUUUUUGACACAAUGUCACACCCGUUACAAAAAUUUGUCACACCCGUUAAAUUGUUAUAAAAAAACUUUAUUUUAAAAUAAAUUUCCUUCAAAUUAAUACCUAUUGGAAACGCAACAUCUCCUUUCAUAUUGAAUACGAUAUCCCGAUAUCCACGACUUUCAUUAAAAAAUCUAUAAUAUGGCUUCUUAAAGUCACCGGAGCAGAGUAAAUCAAUUUUCUAACGUCAAAUCCGUUACAUCUAAUCAGCUUAAAAAAAAAUUGUUUUAACAGCUAAAAAAAUAAGGUGUUGAAAUUGUUAAAUACCUUAUCAACUGAAUAUUACACAGACCAGAAACAAAAAAUUAAGAAACCGUGUCACACUCCUUAAUGUGGAAAUACAAUUUUAUUUUUUUUGUUUGUUGAAAUCGGUUGGGUCGUUUACGAGAAAACCAGAAACAUGUUAUUUUUAUAAAAGAGCCGUUUUUGAAAUUACAACUCUUUUGUAUUUGGUCAUAUCAACUACCGUAAAUUUUAAGCAUAAACAAAAUCCAUUUAUCCCUCAAGGGAAUCACCCAAAAUCUUAAACUAUCAAGUUUGAAGAAAAUCUCAUUAGUGGCUUAGACUGUCGCUUAUAUUGGAAAGUUAAAGUGAUAAGAUAUCCUCACAAAUUCAACUUCACCGGAUCUUGUGAAAUUUUUGUGACUUGUAUGCCAUUAGUGAAGUUUGCCAGAAUCCGUUAAUUCAAUUUAAAUAGCCUAAUAUUCAGUAUUCAGUAGACCUUCAGCCCAAAUGCGUUUCGAAAAGGUACAACCCUCGUCUAAAUGAUGACAUCUUAGAAGGCCACAACAAUAUCUUACUGAUAAGCCCAACUGUAGGUACUUUUAAAUUGAAACAAGUAACUUUAACUGUACAAUGCCAUUUAAUUUAAAUUUAAGUAGGCGUUUAAAGUUUGUAUAUCAGCUUGUCAGUUGUUUUAUUCGAGAAAAAAUCAUAGAAAAUUAUUAAAAAUCAAAAUAAAUAACGCACUACAUAUGUAUAUUUAAUAUUCUACAUAAUUGUUUUGAACGCGAAUUGAUAAACAAAAUAAUAAAAAGUGUUACACCAAUAAUCGAAAUUGCAAAAGUCAAAAGUUGUUCCAAAAAGAGAGUGCUAAAGGCCACCGCAUUCAAGUCCUAAAAAAAGAAGAAAAAAAAGAAGUAUUAAAAAAGAAAACAUCAUCGCCUUUCGAUACACUUUUGGACUAUUUGAUCAAAGUCAAAAGAAGAAGAGGAAAAGGCAAAACAUAAAGGGGGAAAAAAAUCUGAAUUAUACCUGUUUCCAUGAAGAAGAAAAUUAUAGAAAGAAAAAAAAAAAAACAAGAACAAAGGUGUACACACAAUCUGGGAUAAAGAGAAAGGUCGAUCACUUGACUGACUUCAAAAUGGUUCAACAAAAUUUUAAUUUCUUCCUCAGGUGGA
Long non-coding RNA from Episyrphus balteatus (marmalade hoverfly), 1672 nucleotides. RefSeq lists it as uncharacterized. The transcript has 3 exons. Lineage: Eukaryota; Metazoa; Arthropoda; Insecta; Diptera; Syrphidae. The record is from RefSeq and is a predicted model, not a curated record.